This is a non-coding RNA of Termitomyces sp. T32_za158, 101 nucleotides long. NCBI's taxonomy places the organism in Eukaryota, Fungi, Basidiomycota, Agaricomycetes, Agaricales, Lyophyllaceae. The record is from the annotation of a GenBank genome assembly.
GGCCCAAUGGUCUAGUAGCAUGAUACUCCCUUCGGGAUUUCGCGUCUCGCUUGCUUGCGUAAGCUUGGGAGUGGUCCCGGGUUCAAUUCCCGGUUGGGCCC